CAUAGGUAUCCACAUAAGGUCUUCUCAAAUCAAAGGUCAACUAUGUCUCUGGAAUGUUAGCUCUCUUGCAGAGAUCCCUCUUGAUGCUUGAUCUGGGCUUCUUCUCCUAGACAAUCUAAGAGACAAAACAAAAGAGAAAAUAGAGGAAGAUUGGAGAAUAAUUCUCAACCUAUAAAAACCCAGACUCUUCUAGGAAAUAACCCAUGCCUCAAGGGCUACAAUUGCUCAUGCCCA
Molecule: long non-coding RNA, 234 nt
Filed under: Elaeis guineensis (African oil palm)
Lineage: Eukaryota; Viridiplantae; Streptophyta; Magnoliopsida; Arecales; Arecaceae
Description: long non-coding RNA (EGUI_LNC041492)
Source: RNAcentral